RNAcentral lists this ribosomal RNA (399 nucleotides) under Planomicrobium mcmeekinii. RNAcentral's name for it is "bacterial SSU rRNA". It matches the Rfam family "Bacterial small subunit ribosomal RNA", at positions 40 to 433 of the family's 1533-position model. The record is from RNAcentral. Lineage: Bacteria; Bacillati; Bacillota; Bacilli; Caryophanales; Caryophanaceae.
CGGCGUGCCAAUACAUGCAAGUCGAGCGGAACACUAAGAGCUGCUCCAAGCGUUUAGCGGCGGACGGGUGAGUAACACGUGGGCAACCUGCCCUGCAGAUCGGGAUAACUCCGGGAAACCGGUGCGAAUACCGAAUAGUUUGUCCUCCCUCCUGGGAGGAUACGGAAAGACGGUUUCGGCUGUCACUGCAGGAUGGGCCCGCGGCGCAUUAGCUAGUGGUGGGGAACGGCCCACCAAGGCCACGAUGCGUAGCCGACCUGAGAGGGUGAUCGGCCACACUGGGACUGAGACACGGCCCAGACUCCUACGGGAGGCAGCAGUAGGGAAUCCUCCGCAAUGGACGCAAGUCUGACGGAGCAACGCCGCGUGAGUGAUGAAGGUUUUCGGAGCGUAAAACAC